Molecule: ribosomal RNA, 279 nt
Filed under: uncultured bacterium
Lineage: Bacteria
Description: partial 16S ribosomal RNA
Rfam family: Bacterial small subunit ribosomal RNA
Source: RNAcentral
UGCCAGCCGCCGCGGUAAUACGGAGGAUGCGAGCGUUAAUCGGAAUUACUGGGCGUAAAGCGCGCGUAGGUGGUUUGAUAAGCUAGCUGUGAAAGCCCCGGGCUCAACCUGGGAACUGCAGUUAGAACUGUCUGGCUAGAGUAUAGUAGAGGGUGGCGGAAUUUCCUGUGUAGCGGUGAAAUGCGUAGAUAUAGGAAGGAACAUCAGUGGCGAAGGCGGCCACCUGGACUAAUACUGACACUGAGGAACGAAAGCAUGGGUAGCGAAGAGGAUUAGAUA